Podarcis lilfordi (Lilford's wall lizard) is the source of this 68-nucleotide non-coding RNA. NCBI's taxonomy places the organism in Eukaryota, Metazoa, Chordata, Lepidosauria, Squamata, Lacertidae. The record is from the annotation of a GenBank genome assembly.
AUGUGGCUCAGUGGCAGAACGCUUGCUUUGAAUGUAGAAUGUCCUGGGUUCAAUUCCUGGUGUCUCUA